Molecule: ribosomal RNA, 523 nt
Filed under: uncultured bacterium
Lineage: Bacteria
Description: bacterial SSU rRNA
Rfam family: Bacterial small subunit ribosomal RNA
Source: RNAcentral
AGAGUUUGAUCAUGGCUCAGAUUGAACGCUGGCGGAAUGCUUUACACAUGCAAGUCGAACGGCAGCAUAGGUGCUUGCACCUGAUGGCGAGUGGCGAACGGGUGAGUAAUACAUCGGAACGUGCCCAGUCGUGGGGGAUAACGUAGCGAAAGUUACGCUAAUACCGCAUACGAUCUACGGAUGAAAGCGGGGGACCGUAAGGCCUCGCGCGAUUGGAGCGGCCGAUGUUAGAUUAGGUAGUUGGUGGGGUAAAGGCUCACCAAGCCGACGAUCUAUAGCUGGUCUGAGAGGAUGAUCAGCCACACUGGGACUGAGACACGGCCCAGACUCCUACGGGAGGCAGCAGUGGGGAAUUUUGGACAAUGGGCGCAAGCCUGAUCCAGCCAUUCCGCGUGCAGGACGAAGGCCUUCGGGUUGUAAACUGCUUUUGUACAGAACGAAAAGCUCUGAGUUAAUACCUCGGGGUCAUGACGGUACUGUAAGAAUAAGCACCGGCUAACUACGUGCCAGCAGCCGCGGUAAU